Molecule: ribosomal RNA, 2909 nt
Filed under: Salmonella enterica subsp. enterica serovar Ajiobo
Lineage: Bacteria; Pseudomonadati; Pseudomonadota; Gammaproteobacteria; Enterobacterales; Enterobacteriaceae
Description: partial 23S ribosomal RNA
Rfam family: Bacterial large subunit ribosomal RNA
Source: RNAcentral
GGGUUGUGAGGUUAAGCGACUAAGCGUACACGGUGGAUGCCCUGGCAGUCAGAGGCGAUGAAGGGCGUGCUAAUCUGCGAUAAGCGCCGGUAAGGUGAUAUGAACCGUUAUAACCGGCGAUACCCGAAUGGGGAAACCCAGUGUGACUCGUCACACUAUCAUUAACUGAAUCCAUAGGUUAAUGAGGCGAACCGGGGGAACUGAAACAUCUAAGUACCCCGAGGAAAAGAAAUCAACCGAGAUUCCCCCAGUAGCGGCGAGCGAACGGGGAGGAGCCCAGAGCCUGAAUCAGCAUGUGUGUUAGUGGAAGCGUCUGGAAAGGCGCGCGAUACAGGGUGACAGCCCCGUACACAAAAGCGCAUGUGCUGUGAGCUCGAUGAGUAGGGCGGGACACGUGGUAUCCUGUCUGAAUAUGGGGGGACCAUCCUCCAAGGCUAAAUACUCCUGACUGACCGAUAGUGAACCAGUACCGUGAGGGAAAGGCGAAAAGAACCCCGGCGAGGGGAGUGAAAAAGAACCUGAAACCGUGUACGUACAAGCAGUGGGAGCCCCACCACUAAGCCAGUGGUGAACUCCACAUACGCAUCCUUUGCUGAGGAUACGGUUAACGGAGCGAAAGCGACGUUCAACCGCAAAAGAAGCAGAGGGGGCUUAGUGGUGGGGUGACUGCGUACCUUUUGUAUAAUGGGUCAGCGACUUAUAUUCUGUAGCAAGGUUAACCGUAUAGGGGAGCCGGAGGGAAACCGAGUCUUAACCGGGCGUUAAGUUGCAGGGUAUAGACCCGAAACCCGGUGAUCUAGCCAUGGGCAGGUUGAAGGUUGGGUAACACUAACUGGAGGACCGAACCGACUAAUGUUGAAAAAUUAGCGGAUGACCUGUGGCUGGGGGUGAAAGGCCAAUCAAACCGGGAGAUAGCUGGUUCUCCCCGAAAGCUAUUUAGGUAGCGCCUCGUGAAUUCAUCUCCGGGGGUAGAGCACUGUUUCGGCUAGGGGGCCAUCCCGGCUUACCAACCCGAUGCAAACUGCGAAUACCGGAGAAUGUUAUCACGGGAGACACACGGCGGGUGCUAACGUCCGUCGUGAAGAGGGAAACAACCCAGACCGCCAGCUAAGGUCCCAAAGUCAUGGUUAAGUGGGAAACGAUGUGGGAAGGCCCAGACAGCCAGGAUGUUGGCUUAGAAGCAGCCAUCAUUUAAAGAAAGCGUAAUAGCUCACUGGUCGAGUCGGCCUGCGCGGAAGAUGUAACGGGGCUAAACCAUGCACCGAAGCUGCGGCAGCGAACGUAUCACUUAAAGCGAUUCAGCGGGUUACGAUUGACGGAGCGAAGCGACGUCAAAGCGUAUACAAAGUCGAGUCGGUUUAAGGAUACGUUCGUUGGGUAGGGGAGCGUUCUGUAAGCCUGUGAAGGUGGCCUGUGAGGGUUGCUGGAGGUAUCAGAAGUGCGAAUGCUGACAUAAGUAACGAUAAAGCGGGUGAAAAGCCCGCUCGCCGGAAGACCAAGGGUUCCUGUCCAACGUUAAUCGGGGCAGGGUGAGUCGACCCCUAAGGCGAGGCCGAAAGGCGUAGUCGAUGGGAAACGGGUUAAUAUUCCCGUACUUGGUGUUACUGCGAAGGGGGGACGGAGAAGGCUAUGUUGGCCGGGCGACGGUUGUCCCGGUUUAAGCGUGUAGGUGUGUGUUCCAGGUAAAUCCGGUUCACUUUAACACUGAGGCGUGACGACGAGGCACUACGGUGCUGAAGCAACAAAUGCCCUGCUUCCAGGAAAAGCCUCUAAGCAUCAGGUAACAUCAAAUCGUACCCCAAACCGACACAGGUGGUCAGGUAGAGAAUACCAAGGCGCUUGAGAGAACUCGGGUGAAGGAACUAGGCAAAAUGGUGCCGUAACUUCGGGAGAAGGCACGCUGACACGUAGGUGAAGUGAUUUACUCAUGGAGCUGAAGUCAGUCGAAGAUACCAGCUGGCUGCAACUGUUUAUUAAAAACACAGCACUGUGCAAACACGAAAGUGGACGUAUACGGUGUGACGCCUGCCCGGUGCCGGAAGGUUAAUUGAUGGGGUCAGCGCAAGCGAAGCUCCUGAUCGAAGCCCCGGUAAACGGCGGCCGUAACUAUAACGGUCCUAAGGUAGCGAAAUUCCUUGUCGGGUAAGUUCCGACCUGCACGAAUGGCGUAAUGAUGGCCAGGCUGUCUCCACCCGAGACUCAGUGAAAUUGAACUCGCUGUGAAGAUGCAGUGUACCCGCGGCAAGACGGAAAGACCCCGUGAACCUUUACUAUAGCUUGACACUGAACAUUGAGCCUUGAUGUGUAGGAUAGGUGGGAGGCUUUGAAGUGUGGACGCCAGUCUGCAUGGAGCCGACCUUGAAAUACCACCCUUUAAUGUUUGAUGUUCUAACGUGGACCCGUUACCCGGGUUGCGGACAGUGUCUGGUGGGUAGUUUGACUGGGGCGGUCUCCUCCUAAAGAGUAACGGAGGAGCACGAAGGUUGGCUAAUCCUGGUCGGACAUCAGGAGGUUAGUGCAAUGGCAUAAGCCAGCUUGACUGCGAGCGUGACGGCGCGAGCAGGUGCGAAAGCAGGUCAUAGUGAUCCGGUGGUUCUGAAUGGAAGGGCCAUCGCUCAACGGAUAAAAGGUACUCCGGGGAUAACAGGCUGAUACCGCCCAAGAGUUCAUAUCGACGGCGGUGUUUGGCACCUCGAUGUCGGCUCAUCACAUCCUGGGGCUGAAGUAGGUCCCAAGGGUAUGGCUGUUCGCCAUUUAAAGUGGUACGCGAGCUGGGUUUAGAACGUCGUGAGACAGUUCGGUCCCUAUCUGCCGUGGGCGCUGGAGAACUGAGGGGGGCUGCUCCUAGUACGAGAGGACCGGAGUGGACGCAUCACUGGUGUUCGGGUUGUCAUGCCAAUGGCACUGCC